CCUAAUCCUCGCCCUGGGCCCCACAUCCCAUCCUGACGUCGUCAACCCUAUUCCCCAUCCCGCCUGACCAGUACCUGCCCCCAAUCCCCCAUCUCUGCAACCCUCUGGACCAGACCAUACCAACACCAUACCAACAAAAGACAGCCGCUGCCACCUCCGCCAUUCCCACAUCACUAUCAAGAUAAGGUUUCAAGGCGCAGAUUUCCUGCUGUGCACAGCACGCAAUGCGCCACGUGCGCCGGACGGACCACACACGGUGCAGCUGGAUGGACCAACAGGCUAGGCCCCGGAGAGGAAAAGGGGAGGGAAGAGGAGGAAGAAAGGUCAAACAGAAAGGUUACACUGGGUUUGAAACACAUUUUGAUGCCGGUUUCGAAGUUAGGUUGGUGCUAUGAUAUGAAGCAAUGAGGAGUCAAAGGAAGUUGAAGAGCCGCUGAGCCCUAGUCGCAGGCUCCUUGCAAGGCUGAGCACCCGAGGAGUGCUUUGAAAAUGUACUACUUGCAUAUGGCUGUGGAAGAACGGAAUUGCGUGUGGAGUUGGCAAAAUCAAGUCUCGGAGCGGGUACGGUUCCCUUCGAAACAAGUCAAAAGUUCGGAAAGGGCACUAAGGACCACAACUAUCCAACAGAGGCAUAGUGAUCACCCAAUAAUAAUCACUUUCCGAGUGCGCAGUUUUUUUACGGAACUACACUGACAGUCCCCGCUGCUGUUUGAACGCCCCGCCGUUGAACUUACUGCCAUCCAGGCCGUUGCGAGCACUUGGUGAAGUCAUGUUUGAACUAAAAGAGAACACAAUCUCAGGUCGUCGAGCUGCCUGGGUUCGUCCAGUCGGGCGAAGUCAGCUUUACAGGCCAUGCAUGCAAAGACGGAGAUACUUGGGCUUUACCCCAAUUGCCCGAAUGUACGUGCCGGCGGACUCGUUCAGCGGACAGUCUCCAGAGCGAAAAGCCGCCACUGCGCUCAGGUCUCUGUUUACGUUUGUUGCUGCAAGGUAUGGACUCUUAAAGGACAAUUCAAGUGAGCAAGCAACGCUGUGGGCGGUUUCACG
RNAcentral lists this long non-coding RNA (1047 nucleotides) under Volvox carteri. Its description in RNAcentral is "long non-coding RNA (VCAR_LNC002511)". Lineage: Eukaryota; Viridiplantae; Chlorophyta; Chlorophyceae; Chlamydomonadales; Volvocaceae. The record is from RNAcentral.